This 148-nucleotide non-coding RNA is filed under the name Papio anubis (olive baboon). Lineage: Eukaryota; Metazoa; Chordata; Mammalia; Primates; Cercopithecidae. The record is from Rfam by way of RNAcentral.
GCUGGGUGUGGUGGCGUGUGCCUGUAGUCCCAGCUACUUGGGAGGCUGAGGCAGGAGAGUUGCUUGAACCCAGGAGGUGGAGGUUGCAGUGAGCUGAGAUCACGCCACUGCACUCCAGCCUGGGCAACAAAGUAAGACUCUGUCUCAA